UACGUAGGCAACGAGCGUUGUUCGGAGUUACUGGGCGUAAAGGGUGUGUAGGCGGUUGUUUAAGUUUGGUGUGAAAUCUCCCGGCUCAACUGGGAGGGUGCGCCGAAUACUGAAUGACUUGGAGUGCGGGAGAGGAGAGUGGAAUUCCUGGUGUAGCGGUGAAAUGCGUAGAUAUCAGGAGGAACACCGGUGGUGUAGACGGCUCUCUGGACCGUAACUGACGCUGAGACACGAAAGCGUGGGUAGCAAACAGG
This 254-nucleotide ribosomal RNA is filed under the name uncultured bacterium. RNAcentral describes it as "partial 16S ribosomal RNA". It matches the Rfam family "Bacterial small subunit ribosomal RNA", at positions 524 to 776 of the family's 1533-position model. The record is from RNAcentral.